RNAcentral lists this long non-coding RNA (12398 nucleotides) under Vitis vinifera (wine grape). RNAcentral describes it as "long non-coding RNA (VVIN_LNC000923)". The record is from RNAcentral. Lineage: Eukaryota; Viridiplantae; Streptophyta; Magnoliopsida; Vitales; Vitaceae.
UUCUCUUCAAUUCCACAGGCCACAGUCAUUGCUGCUAAAUCCCCUUUCUCAUACUCUUCCCAAGUAUGUUUGGGGAACCAAUCCAUGCUCUCAUUAGAACCAACUUUGGCAUUCCUCCUCCUCCCAACUAUCUCAAACAACAGCAUCCCAAAGCUAUAAACAUCACACUUAUGGGUUAUGGGAUGGUUUUUCAGUAAAAAUUCUGGUGCUGAGUAGCCUGGAGUCCCUCUAUAUCCUGAGACUGUCAGGUGGGUGCCGUCCCUGUUACAAAGCUUAGCAAGCCCAAAGUCUGCAACCUUAGGAAAGAAGUUAGCAUCAAGAAGAAUGUUACCGGGUUUUAUGUCAUAGUGAAUGAUUCUUUCUACACAUUCUUCAUGUAAGUAAGCUAUGCCCUUUGCUGUCCCAACUGCUAUAUGAUGCAGCUUCUCCCACUCGACUUCUUGUGCCUCGCUGAACAAGUACUUGUCCAGGGAUCCAUUUUCCAGGUAUUCGUAGACAAGUGCGCUCAUGAACUGAUCAUAGCAGAAACCAUAGAGCCUGACUAGAUUGAUAUGGUAAGUCCUGCCUAUGGUUCCCACCUCUGCCAUGAACUGUUCUUCAGCUUGUCUGUCUGGACUCCUAUUCAGGACCUUCACUGCAAUCUUGACCCCAUUGGGGAACUGCCCCUUGUAAACCAUUCCAAACCCUCCAGAACCCAGUGUUGUGGUGUAGUUAUCAGUGAAGCUGCAUAGCUGCUGAGCAGUGAACCUGACCGGCUUCUCCCUCGCUAAUUCUUGGAAGAACUUCUCCAUUGUUGGUGUAUCAACCUCCCAAACCUGUAUCGUAUUCACAGGUGGGGGAGCCACUGCCGCUUGCAAUUCUGUCACAAUAGCCUUCUUCGCUUUCCUUGCACAAACGAGAGAGAUAACAGCGAUAAUUCCAAGCACCACCAAGCUCAAUAUUACGGCUGCAAGUCAUGGGAGUUUGAACCAGUAAGAUCCCAACUUCAAACUGUUGUCUGUCAAUAUCGAAUUCCUUCGUAUUAUUGUCGCAGAAAGAACUUACCUCCUGCUGUAAUCCCAGAGUUGUUGCUUGGAGGAGAGUAGUCAUAUGAAGACAUCUACAAAGGUAGCAAAAUGGACCAAGUUAGAUAGGACUAUACAAUUCUCUAUUCAGUCAAGUAUAGAUAUAGAUUUUGUUUACAAAUCUCGCUGGCACCUUGGCUAGGUGAGCAAUUAAUUAACCAAAAAUUUCUUCAUUAGUUCAAGGUUUUGUGCAGUGCAGGCGUAUCAUACAUGACCCUUUAACAUACUAAGAACAAUCAAGUUAGUGAACUCACCCUCUUCGGAAGAUCACUCCUUGCUUUUCACCACCAGAAAUUGCAGCACAGCUUCUCUUUGCUCUUUGCUUCCUCCCAUUGCCUUUGUAUAUAUAUAUAUAUAUAUACAUGUAUUUGAGGGAGGAAGUUUUGGGGAAAUUUCUGUCAUAGGCCUUCAACUUGGUAGUCAACAAGGGGAAGGGAAAGAUCUACGGAACCUCUCUCUUUCACUAUCAAAUUCAAAGUGAAGAAGGAAAGAAAUUUCUCAAAAAAUUAUUUUAAUGGUAUGGAUUAUUAUGCCUAUGAGGGGAAGUUUCGGAAAAAUUCCUGCCAUUGACCUUCACGGUUGCAUUCAAAGAAUCAAAAAAUAAGAUAGAUAAAGGCAAGGAGAGAGCUACACCACCUUCGGCAAUGACAUGGAUUGGUAUCACGAAAUUUUUUAGAAAAGUCACUGACAGGCUUAAUUGCAAGGAGAUAUGGGAACUAAAUACAAGAGAAAUAUAAAUUUGUAAAAAAAAUUAUUAAUAUUUUUAAAUAUAAAAAUAUCUUCAUAUAUUAUCAUUUCUUUUAUAUCUUAAAUACAAAAUAAAUUACAUUUUAGUAUGUUUUCAAAAUUUUCAUAUUAUUACUAAGUACAGAAAUUUAUAUUAUACAUGCAUUAUUUUAUUUAAAUUCAAUAAAUAUAUUAUUACUUAUUUUAUUAUUUGCAAAGUUUUUUUAACAUUUAUAUGAGUUUUGAUUAAUUUUCAUAUAUUUUUUGUAACAAUAUUUCCCAUAUAUCCGAAAUAUCUAUAAAAUUUGACUAUUAAUAUAUAUGAGAAAACCAAUUUUUCAUUCUUAUUAUUAGAACGCAUAUGUAUUUUCUAAUUUUAUCUUUUAUUAUUAUUUUAAAUUUUAAAUUAUUAACUCUUUACUUUUAAUUUUUAAUUCUUAAUCUUUAAUUUUUAACGUUUAAAAUUUUAAAUUUCUAUUUUAUCUCAUUUGGGUAUAGUUCCUAUUUUUUAUUUUUAAAAUCAAAGCAAUAAUAACCUAUAUAUAAAAAAAAGUAAAAACUCUUUUACAAAAAAUAUAUAUUUAUGUUAUAUCUUCAAGAAUUUCUUUUAAAAAUAAAAAUAAAAAUUUCAGAUAGUAAACAUUACUUGUUAACGUAAGCUUCUAAAAGUUAUAAUAUAAAAAUUAUUACUAUUUUCUAUUUUUAAAAAUUGAAACAUGAAGCAUUCAAACAUAUACUAAAUUUUUAAUUUUUUAAAUAUUUAAUAAUAAUAAUAAUAAUAAUAAUAAUAUUUAGUAAUAAAUACAUAUAGGUCUAUUGAUAUUUAAUAGGCCGGCCACUAACCACCCAACCUAUUGAAUGCUGAUUGGGAUAUAUAUAUAUAUAUAUAUAGGUCUUUGUUGACCGGGUAUUAGAAGAAGUGAUGAUAUCAAUGCGUUGGCUAAGUUUGGUAGAGGAAAUUUCCUUGUUAAAUGUGGUAUUUGAAAUGCCACUCCCACCUUUCUCUUUCACCGUCAAGUGGAGAAAGAAAGAAAAGAAAGGACUAACAAGAACUUAAUGGUAUUUGGCUAUUUGCAGGGAUUUAGCAUGGUCUUCCCAUGAGCUCUGCUCAUCCUCACUCCACCAAAUUAGUACGCAAACGCAUCAUCAAAACUUAGCUGAACUUAACGAUAUAUAAGCAUAUUGCCCUAAAACAUGAUCAACUUACAUGGUGUAUAGCUAACACAAAGGCAACUACAAUAAUAUUAUACUACAAAUUUUUUAACAAACUCUACUUCAAUUUUCUUCUCAUUUCAUAGUUGAAACUUGAACCUCUCUCCCUUGAGUGCUUCCAUAGUUAAGAACUAGCUACUUGUAUCUCAUACUUGGCCAUGAUUGGUGUGGUUUCCUUGUACCAAAUUGAAUUGGUUUCUUUACUUGUUGCAUAGCUUGAACUUGUACCGGUUUCAUUUGCCUGCUGUAACACGUUUAUACCUACUGAGUAUAGAUAAUGAAACGGUUUUGGUGGUGGCAUGACUUCUACUCCUCCCUCCAGCAUCUUUACCACAGCACUCAUCAGAGGCCUUGAGUCGGGUGAGUCCUGAACACACCAUAGAGCCACCAUAGACAUUCUCUCUGCUUUCUCCCUGUCCUUCUCUUCAAUUCCACAGGCCACAGUCAUUGCUGCUAAAUCCCCUUUCUCAUACUCUUCCCAAACAUGUUUGGGGAACCAAUCCAUGCUCUCAUUAGAACCAAUUUUGGCAUUCCUCCUCCUCCCAACUAUCUCAAACAACAGCAUCCCAAAGCUAUAAACAUCACAUUUAUGGGUUAUAGGAUGGUUUUUCAGUAAAAAUUCUGGGGCCGAAUAGCCUGGAGUCCCUCUAUAUCCUGAGACUGUCAGGUGGGUGUUGUCCCUGUUACAAAGCUUAGCAAGCCCGAAGUCUGCAACCUUAGGAAAGAAGUUAGCAUCAAGGAGAACGUUGCCAGGUUUUAUGUCAUAGUGAAUGAUUCUUUGUACACAUUCUUCAUGUAAGUAAGCUAUGCCCUUUGCUGUUCCAACUGCUAUAUGAUGCAGUUUCUCCCACUCGAUUUCUCGUGCCUCACUGAACAAGUACUUGUCCAGGGAUCCGUUUUCCAGGUAUUCGUAGACAAGUGCACUCAUGAACUGAUCAUGGCAGAACCCAUAGAGCCUGACUAGAUUCAUAUGGUAAGUUCUGCCUAUGGUUCCCACCUCUGCCAUGAACUGUUCUCCAGCUUGUCUGUCUGGACUCCUAUUCAGGACCUUCACUGCAAUCUUGACCCCAUUCAGGAACUGCCCUUUGUAAACCACUCCAAACCCUCCAGAACCUAGUGUUGUCGAGUAGUUAGCAGUGAAACUGCAUAGCUGUUGAGCAGUGAAUCUGACUGGCUUCUCUUUUGCUAUUUCUUGGAAGAACCUCUCCAUUGUUGGUGCAUCAACCUCCCUCGCCUGCAAUUCUUUCACAAUGGGCUUCCUUGCUUUCCUUGCACAAAGGAGAUAGAUAACAGCGAUUUUUCCUACUACCACCAAGCUCGAUACUAUGACUGCAAGUCAUGGGAAUUUGAAUCAAUAAGAUCCCAACUUCAAUCUGUUGUAUAUAUUUCUCACAGAAAGCACUUACCUGCUGCUGCAACCCCAGAGUUGUUGUCUGUCGGAGGAGAGAAGUCUGAAGACAUCUACAAAGGCAGCAAAUUGGACUAAGUUAGAUAGGACUAUACAAUUCGCUAUUCAGUUGAAGUAUUUAUGUCGAUUUUGGGUACAAAUCCCCUGGGCACCUUGGCUAAGUGAGUGGUUAAUUAACCGAAAUUUUCUUCAUUAGUUCAAAGUUUUGUGCAUUGCAGGCUUGUUAAUCAUUCAUGAACCUUCAACAUACUAAGAACAAUCAGGUUAGUGAACUCACCCUCUUUGGAAGAUCACUCCUUGCUUUUCACCACCAAUGCACCACAACUUCUCUUCGCUCUUUGCUUCCCCCCACUGCCUUGACCUGAAAAUUCACCAAAGUUUCUUCACUCCUGAAUCAUAAUUCUGCAAUGGGUGUGAAGGGAAGAAGUUUUUGGGAAAUUUCUGUGACAUCUCUGCCGACUAACUUGGUCAAAAUUCUAUGGUACCCAUGUGGUCGGUACCAAAGUUAGAUUUUUGACCGUUGAAUUUAAAUAUUUUAAUCAUGACCGUUGAUCUAGAUUGUACGAAAAGGGGAAAACUUGCGUGUAAUCAGUUUCUUGUUAAGUGUAUUGUUUAAAAUGAUGAUCUAAUGAUAAUUAAGUAAUGAUAUUUUAUAUUAUUAAAUAUAUAAUUUAUAAUAAAUAAAAAAUAAUAUAUUAUCUAAUUUCUUUUUUAUUUUUAUUUAAAAAUGUAUCUAAUAAUAAUUUUAGUUUUUUUAUCAAUAAUUUGAGUUUAUUUUGAAUUUAAAUUUUACUAUAUUAGAUAACUAAAAAAAAAAAAUCAAUUUCAAUAUAAAUCAAUUAAAAAUGGAUUUUAAUUUAAUGUAAUUCUCAUAAAUAAAUUAAAAUAUAUUUUUCAUUUAAAAUAUUUAUUUUUUAACAUGAAAGUACUAAGGAUAAAAAAAUCAAUUUAAAAAAGAUAAAUUUUACAAUAAAAUUAUUUAAUAACAAGAAUCUUUAUUUUAUAAAAUGGAUAAAUAUGAAAAAAAUGUUAUAAAAUUAUUAAAUGUGAAUGUUAAUAUUUUAUAAAUCAAUUAAAAUAGAUAUUUUAUAAUUUUAAUUUUCUUUUAUUAAGGAUUUAAUUUAAAAUAAAUAUUUUAAUUUAAAAAAAAUUAAAUUUAUUAUAAGGCUCAUUCAAUAAUAUAAAUAGUGUUUUAUAAAAUAAAAUAAAAAAGUUUAAAAUUGAAUAAAAAAUUAUAGAAAUUUAUAAUUCAUUGAUCAUAUUUUGUUAUAAGUUGUUGAUAAGUCUCUAUUGUUAAGUGUAUUUAGUAACUUUUAUAUAGAACUUCUACUUAGAUGAGUUAGUUGGGUUGAUCGUUAAUCUAAGUCCAACCUAACUCAACUUCAUUUUUUUUUUAAGUUUGGAUUAGUCAAAUUAAACCGAUGUUGAUUGAACUUUGACUAUAGACUAUUCAUGAGACUCAAUAUUUAGAUUGUCAUCGUAUUGGUGAAAAAAGAUUUCAUAAUGAAAUGAUUCUCAUUGCUUUCUCUCUAUCAUUGGUAAGUUGUACUCAUGUGUCAGUGUUGUUGGAUUGUGUGACGUAUUUGUCACCAUGGGUUGAUCAAACUUUGACCAUAGCCAAUUCAAAAGCGACACCAUAUAUUUUUAAUGAUGCUUAAUUUGAUAUAGAGUUGUUUGAGAUAUAUAAUGUGUUAUAUUAAAUGCAUCACCUUUGAGUUAUGGUGUCACAUCAUUGUAAAUGAUUAUGAAAGAUAUGGUUGUUUUUUGUUGAUUAGCCUGUUAAUAAAUAAGAUCAACUUGUGCAUAUUUUGUCCAUAAAUAUAAUAAUCAUAUCACAUUUAACUUAUAUUUUUGUAAUGCUUAUGGAUUAACCUGUAAUACAUUACAUCAUCUAGUAAUAUUUGCAUAUCAAAUGUUCACAAAACGAUAGUACAUCAAACCUACCAAAACUAAAAAAGAAAAGUGAAUGCACAUUAAAACAUGAUUUAGAAAUGUUAAGCAUCCCAACAUUCAUGUAUACCUGCAUUUCAUAUGCAUAAAACCGGUUAACCGUAAAAUGACACAAGAGUUGCAUCCAAAAACCCAAAAUUCUCAAUACCAAAUAAAGUAACGUUUAUAUCCUAUAAUGUAUGGCAUCAGAGUCACAUCUAAAAACCAAAAAUCUUGUUGCCUCUUUCUCUUUUCUUUUUAUUCUUCAUACUGUCCUCCCAAAAGUGUAUCCUGCAUUUCAUAGUUUAAUGAGUUUUAAAGCUCUUAUUGAAAAUAAAAAUUAAUUAAUGUUAUAAAAAAUAAAUAAAUAAAUCUAAGGACUGAUGUUUUCUUUUUUCUUUUUCCCAUUUUGAUAUCAAAAUAAUUCGUAAAGAAUAAGUAAUGUCAUACAAUACUAAUGGAAAAUUCAUAUGACAACUAAGGGACUCACCAUGCAUGAUCACGAUACAUCAACAUGAUUCAUAAUUAGUCAUAACAUAAAAAUAGUCAAUUGUCUUCUAAUUUCAUCAAAUUCUACUUAAGAAUAUGUUUUUUUUUAUCAUCAAACUGAAAUCAAAUGAGAAUAACAUUAAUAUCACAAUAAUUGGAAGAUGAAAUUAUGUACAAUUCAUUAAAUGAGUAAAACCUUUAAUACAAUAACUAUAGAAUCAACAAUUAUCUCUUUAAUGAAUCUCAUAACAAAGUAGUCACAUUUGAACUCAAAUAAAAAUAAUUCAAGAAAAUAAAAAAUAAAUCAAAACUACAAAAUCAAAAUAUAAAUCUAAAAUUUUAGAAAAUACUAAUCUUCCACUUAAAAUCUGCACUUUUUAAAUUUAUUUUUUAUAAUUCAUUAUGUUUUUAAAAAUCAUUUUUAACAUUUAAUUCUUUUUAUAUAUAUAUAUUUUUUAUUUCUUGGAAGGAUUUUCUUAAUUUCAAUAUUUUUUAAUGUUCAUUUUGUGAAAUAAUAAUGUUCAUUAAAUUUCAUCUCAAUUAUAUAAAAUAAAAUUUUAGUAACAAAAUAUAAAAAUGUUUUCAACUACUAAUAUGAUAGGACAUGAUAUUAUAACAAGCAUGAAAAUUGUGUAUAUAAGACCAAAAACCUAAUUCAUUAUUAAAAAAUGUUAAGAGAAAAAAUAGUAUGAGAAAGAAUUAAACAAUUUUUCAUAAAAAUUAUUGAUUUUUCGGUUAUAACUCCAAUUGAUAUUUUUUUUUCUAAUUAAAAUAAUUAAUAAAAAAUUUUGGAUAUGAAAAAUAUGUUCAAAUAAAAAUAAUAACAAUUUUAAAAUAUCAAAGGAAAAGAUAUUCAAUAUUUUAAAUUUUUUACUUUUAAUAUUCUUCAGAUCAAUAAAUUAUCAAACAUCUUUUUCAAAAAAAAAAAAAUUGAAGAAAAGGAAGACCUUUGUGAAAGGAAUUGGAAAUUUUUUUGUAAUAAAAUGAUUUUAUAGAAAUUUCAUAACCUUGAAAGGAAAAUUUCAUCAUCAAUUUCAAAUUACUCCAAAAUUUAGUCAAUGCAUAUAAAAACAAUAAGAAAAAAAAGACAAAAAUAAAACAUAUUUUGAGAAUCCUUUUGCGGGAGAUGACAAUAUUGCGAAUAAUUUUUGAGAAAAUUAUUUUCCUAAUAUGACCAACCAAUAUCUUCAUCACAACAUACUAUAAUAUUCUUAGAAAAUAAACAAAUUAAAGGAAUUUUCAUUAAAAAUCAAAAGAAAAUUAUAAAACAUCUUCUUAAAAAAAAAAAGUUUUAUAGAAGGAAUUAAAAAAAUUUAUGUAAUAAAAGGAUUUUAUAGAAAUUUUCUAACCUUGAAAGAGAAAUUCUAAAUUUUGGUCAACGCAUAUAAAAACAAUAAGAAAAUAAAGUAAAAACAAAAAACAAAAAACAAAAAACAUAUUUCAAGAAUAGAAAAAAUAUAAAUAGAACAAGAUGAGAUAUUAACCAUAAUACCAAGUAAAAUAAUAAUAAAAAAAAUCAAAAUAUAAGAUUUGAUCAUUUUUAUAAUUAUAAAAAUUUUCAUUCCUAUUUAAAAUUUAAAAAACAAUUCAUUUACAUGAAUAAAUAAAUAAUUAAACUAAUUUUUCAUUGUUAAUUCCAACAUUCCAAACCAAUGCCAAUAUGAUAUGGAAAUUAUUUCAUUUUUCCUUUUGUGGGAGAUGACAAUAUUAAGAAUAACUUUCUAAAAAAUUAUUUUUCAUGAGUGUGAGAAGAGGUAGAAGAAAAUUAUGGUUAGGGUUAUGGAAUGAGAUUUUUUUUUGGAUCGGGAGUAUGUGGAAACAAUGAGUUUUUUAUAUAUUAUUAUUAUUCUCAAAGUGGGCCCGUUAAAUUAUAGUAUUUUAAAAUUUUUAUUUUAUAUGGUGUCACUUUUCAAAAACUGACACUAUAAACUUAAAAUUAAUAUCAUCUAUCUUAAUUAAAAAAAUUUAUAUGAUGUGUCACCUUUAUGGAUUUUAAGUCAUAUGGUGUCUUUAUUUUAAAAGUGACACCAUAAAUUAUUUUUGUAGUAGUGAUUCUUUACUUAGGAUGUUACGGGUUAAGCUAUCGAAUCAACUCUUAGGGUUAAAGGAGUGUUAACGUUCUAAAGAAUUUUUUUAUGUGAUAAAUGACGAAUUUAGCCUCAUUAUAUAUUUAAACUUCUUAUGAAUUAGGAUUUUUUAGAGAGCGUGAUCAUAAUUAAGAAAUUUUUUUGAGAGUUUUACCAUUAUAAUCUUUCUUUUCUUUUGAUUAGUGGAUUCUUAAAUGUUAAUAUAUUUUAUGGACUUAAGAAUCACAUUGAUCAUCGAACCACAUUAAAAAAUUUAUGUUUUUAUUUAUUUUCUGUUAAUGUGUACAUGAUUUGAUUAAAAAGUGUCACCAUGUUCUUUAGCUUGUCUGUCUAACCUCUUGUUUAGGAACUGUUAGAAGAGUGAUCGACCUCCCCAUCUCAUAAAGAACUUCUUUUGAAUCAUUUUCCAGUUUUAUUAAUCACCUUAUUUUUGUUAAUAGUAAUAUUUGCUUUCUGCAUGAAAUUAUGUUCAUUAUUUUCACUGAAUAUGAAAUUAUUUAAGCUAUGUUAUAUAACCAUUACAUUGAAUUUUGCCCAGAUGUCCAUUGGGCAUCUGGACACCAGUGGAACCAUGGCCACUGCAUGUCAGAACAAGCAAAAGUACGUGGUCUAAUGAUAUUUAAUAGGUCGGCUACUAACCACCCAACUCAUUGAAUGCUGAUUGAGACUCUUAUAUGGAACCAUGCAUGGCCACUGCAUAUUCGGUCAAGCAAAAGAAAGUGGUCUAAUGAUAUUUAAUAGGUCGGCUACUAACCAGCCAACUUAUUGAAUGUUGACUGGGACUCUUAUAUAGGUCUAUGUUGACUGAAUAUUAGAAGAAGUGAUGAUAUAUAAGCAUGUUGCCCUAAAACAUGAUCGACUUAUAGGAUAUAUAGUUUGUUAUGCCAAUGAAAGCUUUGAUGCCAACAAUGUUAGUUCAAGAACACAAAGAUAAAACAAUCACACAUACGGUACACGAGGUUUUAACGUGGUUCAGCCAACUAUGCCUACGUCCACAGAUAAGAGAGAAUAAUUCCACUAUACAAUAGAGAAUAUUACAGAGGACAUAAUCAAAUACAACUAUUGGGUUCCCGAAACAUCACAUAUUUCCCCACUCUUUGUAUCUAUACCCUACUACGAGCCAUCUCGCUCCACAGAGUACCUCCCAUUCUUCCUCACAUCUCUAUCCACCUCGUAUAGUUUUUAUAAGCCCAUUUCCAUCUCAUAACUUUUCCCCCUCAUGACCUAGAAUAUUUAUAGAGAUAUUUCCAACAACCUUCCUUAUUCUAUAAGGAAGUCUAUAUUACAAUAAUAUAUCAACCUAGAAGUAUUCUAUAUAAUAUUCUUUAUAAAAAAAGAAUCUAUACUAAUUAGGAAUUUGGGACACGUCCUAACAAUCUCCACCUUGGACCAAAUUCCAUGAAGUUAAUCUCCAAUCUCUCCAUGACACAAAUCUUUUUGUAUCGUAUCACCACGAAAGAGCAAUCGACUCCACCUUCAGUGAAAAUUCCUUUUGUUUUCAUCUUGUGUGCUUUGUGAUCUUUUACUCUUCCAGAAAUCUCAACCCAAGCUCUGAUACCAGUUGAAGGGAAUUAAGUCGAAUUCUCAACCUGUUUUCCCACAGUUCCAGCAUUAUACUUGUUGGCCUGAUUUAGAUUUGCUUCUGUUCUGAUUAGAAUUUCUGGAUUUUGAUCUACCCCAGUUUGAAUUUCUGUCAUUACCUCUGCUUCUUGUCUCAAGGUUUAGGGCAGAACCAAAUCCUGAGGUUUCGCCUGCAUCUCUUCGGCGAAUCUCCUCAGCCAGAAUUAAAUCUCGUAUAUCAUUGUACUUGAGCUUUUCCUUUCCCAUAGAAUUGCUUACUGUCAUCCUCAUUGUCUCCCAACUAUUUGGCAAAGAAGCUAAGACGAUCAGAGCACGAAUCUCAUCAUCAAAAUCAAUUUCUACAUACGACAAUUGAUUUGUAAUUGUAUUAAAUUCAUUCAGAUGUUGUGCUAUUGAUGCAUUUUCUGUCAUCUUCAAAUUGAACAAUUUCUUCAUCAGAUGCACCUUAUUGUUUUCGGACGGCUUUUCAUACAUACCGGACAAAGCCUUCAUCAGAUCUGUUGUGGUCUUCUCUUUUACAACAUUGUGUGCAACAGACCUAGACAAAGUUAACCUAAUAACUCCUAGAACCUAUAUGUCAAGAAGCACCCAUUCCUUAACCUUCAUACUCUCAGGUUUUGUCCCCAAAAGAGGCAGAUGCAAUUUCUUCUCAUAGAGAUAAUCUUCAAUCUGCAUCCUCUAAUACGCAAAGUCUGUGCCAUCAAACUUUUCUAUUCUAGAUGUCUUUCCUGCUUCCUCUGCCAUUGCUCCCACUCAAACCUAAUCCUAGGCUCUGAUACCAGUUGAAGGGAAUUAAGCCGAAUUCCCAACCUGUGAGAAACAAAAAAAAAUAGAGAAAACACACGCCAAAGAAAAACAAUCAACGCACAAGAAAGUCUACGUCCAUGAAGUUGCAGGGAUAUCACUAUUAUCAGGGAAAAAUCCAGAGUACAACAAUUGCGGCUACAAUAUUUUCUCUCUAUAUAUAACACAACAACUACACCACACUAAAAAACCCUAAUUACAAAAGAUGGUUCCACAAUGGGCUAAGCGGGCCCAAAAGCCCAAGCCUUCGCUCCAUGGACUAAGACUCAGUAAAUCUCCCAUUAAAAAACCACGUAAUAUUAUUCGAGUCGGGUCGCCAAACCGGAUCAAACAAAACUAGGCUCCACAAAGCCUGACAUAAACACACAAAGGCAACUACAAUAAUAUUAUACAACAAAUUUUUAACAAAAUCUACUUCAAUUUGAACCUCUCUCCCUUGAGUGUUUCCAUGGUUAAGAACUAGCUACUUGUAUCUCAUACUUGGCCAUGAUUGGUGUGGUUUCCUUGUACCAAAUUGAAUUGGGUUCUUCACUUGUUGCAUAGCUUGAACUUGUACCGGUUUCAUUUGCCUGCUAGAACAUGUUCAUCCCUAUUGAGUACAGAUAAUGAAAUGGUUUUGGCGGGGGCAUGACUUCUACUCCUUCCUCCAACAUCUUUACCAUAGUACUCAUCGGAGGCCUCGAGUCGGGUGAGUCCUGGACACACUAUAGAGCCACCAUAGACAUUCUCUCUGUUUUCUCCCUGUUCUUCUCUUCAAUUCCACAGGCCACAGUCAUUGCUGCUAAAUUCCCUUUCUCAUACUCUUCCCAAACAUGUUUGAAGAACCAAUCCAUGCUAUCAUUAGAACCGACUUUGGCAUUCCUUCUUCUCCCAACUAUCUCAAACAACAACAUCCCAAAGCUAAAAACAUCACAUUUAUUGGUUAUGGGAAGGUUUUUCAGUAAAAAUUCUGGUGCUGAGUAGCCUGGAGUCCCUCUAUAUCCCGAGACUGUCAGGUGAGUGUUGUCCCUGUUACAAAGCUUAGCAAGCCCAAAGUCUGCAACCUUAGGAAAGAAGUUAGCAUCAAGGAGAACGUUACCGGGUUUUAUGUCAUAGUGA